AAAUAAAUAAUAAAGUCAUCGGCUCAAACAAGGUCGUCUGAGACUUCAUAGAAUUAAUAUAAAACCCUAUACCCCAAUGUCACAUCCUAUCAGAGCGUUGUGUCUCGAUGUCCUUUAGCACAAUAUUCCUUAACGCAGUUCACCUAGUCAUCUGCUCCCCCGAACACAAAGUUCAAGAUCAUCACAGGAUCCAAACACAAACAACAAACCAAGAGUGAGUUAUCACAUUCCUAACUAAUAGAGAAACAAGACAACUAGAUAUACAUAUCAUAUAAACCAAAUAAAACUUACUUACACGUAAUUCAUGUAAUUCCACCACUUUUUCAUUCAGGGUUCACUUUUCAUCCAUCAAUCACACUUUUCAAUCAUCAAUCACAUUACACAAGAAUCACACACUCUGAUCAAAACAUAAUAACACCUCAAUUUCAUAAUAAACAAUUAGCAAGUGCAUGGGACAGUUAUGCUAAGACUCAAGCCUAUAUGCAAUGUGGUACCAUGUCAGUGAAAAACCACCCUGGGGCGCUUAGAAGUACAUAACAAGACACACCACACAAUGGGUUUGUCAGGUCACUCUCACUAAGUAAGAUCAUAGGGAGACCAGUCAGGAUCACGAUGUUUUGCGAGAAUGCUCCAACCAUAUGGGAUCAACAUAAGCUUAAAGGAGCACUCAAACCCGGUGACCCCCAAGGCCUACACUCCGAAGAGUCCGUUAGGGCCUCUCCCUCCUGAUUCAGGUCCAACCCCUAAAAUCAUUUUAUCACACAGACACUGUUUGUGAAUUAUACAAUACCCACGACCUCACACUCGUGUUUUAAACACGUACAACAUAUUGCGCUACAAUUUAACACUGGUUCCUAAAUAGGAAACCUACACUUUCUCUUUAACACUGGUUCCUAAAUAUGAAACCUACGCUUUCUCUUUAACACUGCGCAUUUACACUUUUCUCAAGAUAACACUGGUCGGGUUAUUAUACAAUUCACAGCUUACAACACAAAUAAUGUCACAUCAAGAGUUAAUCACACACUUAUUUAUAACCAAAACUCAUUCAUAAUUUCACAUCUCAUAAUGUCACAAUCCACCAUCACAUAUUUCAUUUAUAAGCACUACUCAUGAAUUAUACAAUACCCCCGAUCUCACACUCGUGUUUCAAACACGUUUAACACAUUGUGCUACAAUUUAACACUAGUUCCUGAAUAUGAAACCUACAUUUUCUCUUAAACACUACGCAUCAACGUUUUUCUCAAGAUAACACUGAUCGGGUUAUUGUAUAAUUCAUAGCUCACAACAUAAUUAUUGUCACAUCAAGUGUCAAACACACACACUUAUUCACAAUCAGAUAUCAUGCUCACAAUUUAACAUCUCAUAAUAUCACAUCAAUCAUCUCAUUUUUACAUGUAUCUCGCAAAUUGGCACAUUCAACUUUGUACUACUCAAUCUUCACUAUAAUAUUAUAAUACCAUUAUAAUAACUUAUUACACUUUAUAACUUAUACACAUCACACAAUAAUAAUAUUUGCAUGAUACAAAACAUAUAUAUGUAUAUGUAUAUAGUAAAUUAAACUACAUUGUUUUUAAUCAAAGAAUUUCUUUAACAAUCAAUUUAAUAUUACAUCAAAAGAAAUUACCACUAGACAUUAACCUUACAAUUUUCUUUAAUUUAUUAUUUUAGUAUUACAAUAAUUAUAUACACAUAACAUGUUGAUCAUCGUCGUAGAAAAAUUAGAACAAGAUAAUAAUUUGUAUAAAAUAAGUCAUUGAAUAAUAUUAUUUAAAAUAUAAUUUACGUUAAUAAAAAGAGCUUAAUUUUUCUAAGGGGUUCACACUCAACAGAAGAACACAUUAAUUUCAUAGCAAUUUCUCAUUGGGACAUCAACUGAUUCAUCAAACAUAUAUAAUUCACUGUAAUAAUUAAAAGGAUAAAAUAAAAAUUGCAAGAACACCCCAAAACUCAUUCCAAUUGAUAUCUCUAAGGAUCCUUACAUAUAUUCUCACUAAUCCCCAAUUGUGAAUAACUCAUCCCUUACCUCUAAGUAGACUCACGUGUCUUCAGCCAACGAUAGCAGCAUCUCUGGCGGUUCCAUGAGAUUCCUCCAGUUAUUCCUCCGACUGCUCCGAUAGAAUUCUCAAACGUCAGAGAGACGGAGAAGAGAUUGAAGCCUCCACUUGUACUGUCUUCAUGCGAUUCCUUUUUC
RNAcentral lists this long non-coding RNA (2191 nucleotides) under Glycine max (soybean). RNAcentral's name for it is "long non-coding RNA (GMAX_LNC001828)". Lineage: Eukaryota; Viridiplantae; Streptophyta; Magnoliopsida; Fabales; Fabaceae. The record is from RNAcentral.